UUCCCGGCCACGCCCAGCACGGCCGAGGUCAGCGGGAAGUGGUACAGGAGGUACCUGGGACAGGUGAGACGGGACAGGUGUGACACAGGGACAGGUGUGUGACAGGACAGGUGUGCAAUUCCCGGCCACGCCCAGCACGGCCGAGGUCAGCGGGAAGUGGUACAGGAGGUACCUGGGACAGGUGA
Prinia subflava (tawny-flanked prinia) is the source of this 185-nucleotide long non-coding RNA. RefSeq lists it as uncharacterized. The record is from RefSeq and is a predicted model, not a curated record. The transcript has 3 exons. NCBI's taxonomy places the organism in Eukaryota, Metazoa, Chordata, Aves, Passeriformes, Cisticolidae.